GAUCCAGACUCCUACGGGAGGCAGCAGUGAGGAAUAUUGGUCAAUGGGCGGAAGCCUGAACCAGCCAAGUCGCGUGAGGGAAGAAGGCCCUGCGGGUCGCAGACCUCUUUGGACGGGGAGCAAGGCCGCCGACGUGUCGGCGGAAGGAGAAUACCCGUAGAACAAGCAUCGGCUAACUCCGUGCCGGCAGCCGCGGUAAUACGGAGGAUGCGAGCGUUAUCCGGAUUUAUUGGGUUUAAAGGGUGCGCAGGCGGCACGGCAAGCCGGCGGUCAAAUCGCGGGGCUCAACCCCGCCCAGCCGUCGGAACUGCCGGGCUAGAGUGGGCGAGAAGUGCGCGGAAUGCGUGGUGUAGCGGUGAAAUGCAUAGAUAUCACGCAGAACUCCGAUUGCGAAGGCGGCCUGCUGGACAUUAACUGACGCUGAGGCGCGAAAGCGUGGGGAGCAAACAGGAUUAGAUACCCUGGUACCC
RNAcentral lists this ribosomal RNA (470 nucleotides) under uncultured bacterium. Its description in RNAcentral is "partial 16S ribosomal RNA". It matches the Rfam family "Bacterial small subunit ribosomal RNA", at positions 328 to 795 of the family's 1533-position model. The record is from RNAcentral.